UUAAGGUGCUUGGAACUGAUUAGGUCCUCUC
This 31-nucleotide non-coding RNA is filed under the name Homo sapiens (human). The record is from RNAcentral. Lineage: Eukaryota; Metazoa; Chordata; Mammalia; Primates; Hominidae.